RNAcentral lists this long non-coding RNA (215 nucleotides) under Lathyrus oleraceus (garden pea). RNAcentral describes it as "Pisum sativum (pea) long non-coding RNA (PSAT_LNC010561)". Lineage: Eukaryota; Viridiplantae; Streptophyta; Magnoliopsida; Fabales; Fabaceae. The record is from RNAcentral.
UAGAAUAGAAUAUUCUACAGUUUGUUUUAUAGUGAGCUGUAAGUUUGUUAGUGCACAGAUGUAAGUUUUACAGUGUGUAUUAGUUUGUUAGUGCACAACUGUAAGUUUGACAGUGAGCUGUCCUCUCUGUGAUAACAAACUAUUCCAGCUAUAUAUAUAGCUACUGAUUGUUUUCUAUUUUAAUAUGAAUGAAAUACAAAUCAGUUCAUUCUCUC